CCUACGGGAGGCAGCAGUGAGGAAUAUUGGUCAAUGGACGAGAGUCUGAACCAGCCAAGUAGCGUGAAGGAUGACUGCCCUAUGGGUUGUAAACUUCUUUUAUAUGGGAAUAAAAUGUUCCACGUGUGGGAUUUUGUAUGUACCAUAUGAAUAAGGAUAGGCUCACUCCGUGCCAGCAGCCGCGGUAAUACGGAGGAUCCGAGCGUUAUCCGGAUUUAUUGGGUUUAAAGGGAGCGUAGGUGGAUUGUUAAGUCAGUUGUGAAAGUUUGCGGAUCAACCGGAAAAGUGCAGUUGAAACUGGGAGGCUUUAGUACAGUAGAGGAGAGCGGAAUUCCUUGUGGAGCGGUGAAAUGCUUAGAUAUCAAGAAGAAACGCGAUUGCGAAGGCAGCUCACUGGACUGCAACUGACACUGAGGCUCGAAAGUGUGGGUAUCAAACAGGAUUAGAUACCCGGGUAGUC
RNAcentral lists this ribosomal RNA (460 nucleotides) under uncultured bacterium. RNAcentral's name for it is "partial 16S ribosomal RNA". It matches the Rfam family "Bacterial small subunit ribosomal RNA", at positions 338 to 795 of the family's 1533-position model. The record is from RNAcentral.